GCGGAUGUGGCGAAAUUGGUAGACGCACCAGAUUUAGGUUCUGGCGGGAUACCGUGGGGGUUCGAGUCCCUCCAUCCGCACCA
RNAcentral lists this transfer RNA (83 nucleotides) under Bartonella birtlesii LL-WM9. RNAcentral describes it as "tRNA-Leu". It matches the Rfam family "tRNA". From Rfam's summary of the family: Transfer RNA (tRNA) molecules are approximately 80 nucleotides in length. Their secondary structure includes four short double-helical elements and three loops (D, anti-codon, and T loops). The record is from RNAcentral. Lineage: Bacteria; Pseudomonadati; Pseudomonadota; Alphaproteobacteria; Hyphomicrobiales; Bartonellaceae.